This 253-nucleotide ribosomal RNA is filed under the name uncultured bacterium. RNAcentral describes it as "partial 16S ribosomal RNA". It matches the Rfam family "Bacterial small subunit ribosomal RNA", at positions 524 to 776 of the family's 1533-position model. The record is from RNAcentral.
UACAGAGGUCUCAACCGUUGUUCGGAUUCAUUGGGCGUAAAGGGUGCGUAGGCGGUCGCGCAAGUCGGAUGUGAAAUCUCGGGGCUCAACCCCGAAACUGCAUUCGAUACUGCGUGGCUCGAGUACUGGAGAGGAGACUGGAAUUUACGGUGUAGCAGUGAAAUGCGUAGAUAUCGUAAGGAAGACCAGUGGCGAAGGCGAGUCUCUGGACAGUUACUGACGCUGAGGCACGAAGGCCAGGGGAGCAAACGGG